This 432-nucleotide ribosomal RNA is filed under the name uncultured Bacteroidales bacterium. RNAcentral describes it as "bacterial SSU rRNA". It matches the Rfam family "Bacterial small subunit ribosomal RNA", at positions 79 to 509 of the family's 1533-position model. The record is from RNAcentral. Lineage: Bacteria; Pseudomonadati; Bacteroidota; Bacteroidia; Bacteroidales.
AUACGACUGCCGGCGACCGGCGCACGGGUGAGUAACACGUAUCCAACCUUCCGGUUACUCGGGAAUAGCCUUUCCAAAGAAAGAUUAAUGCCCGAUGGUAUAACAAGUCUGCAUGGAGUUGUUAUUAAAGAUUUAUCGGUAACCGAUGGGGAUGCGUUCCAUUAGGCAGUUGGCGGGGUAACGGCCCACCAAACCGACGAUGGAUAGGGGUUCUGAGAGGAAGGUCCCCCACAUUGGAACUGAGACACGGUCCAAACUCCUACGGGAGGCAGCAGUGAGGAAUAUUGGUCAAUGGGCGAGAGCCUGAACCAGCCAAGUAGCGUGAAGGAUGACUGCCCUAUGGGUUGUAAACUUCUUUUAUGCGGGAAUAACAAGCGGCACGUGUGCCGUUCUGCAUGUACCGUAUGAAUAAGCAUCGGCUAACUCCGUGCC